GUUCGAUUAUGGCUCAAGAUUGAACGCUGGCGGGAUGCUUUACACAUGCAAGUCGAACGGCGGCACGGACUUCGGUCUGGUGGCGAGUGGUGAACGGGUGAGUAAUGUAUCGGAACGUGCCUAGUAGCGGGGGAUAACUACGCGAAAGUAUGGCUAAUACCGCAUACGCCCUUCGGGGAAAGCGGGGACCUUCGGGCCUCGCACUAUUAAGGCGGCCGAUAUCGGAUUAGCGCUGGUUGGUGGGGUAACGGCUCACCAAGGCGACUGAUCGUAGCUGGUUGAGAGGACGACCAGCCACACUGGGACUGAGACACGGCCCAGACUCCUACGGGAGGCAGCAGUGGGGAAUUUUGGACAAUGGAAGCCACAGUCCAGCCAUCCCGCGUGUGCGAUGAGGCGCUGGGUUGUAAAGCACUUUUGGCAGGAAAGAAACGGCACGGGAUAAUACCCGAUGCAACUGACGGUACCUGCAGAUAGCACCGACGCUAACCGUUUUCAGCAGCCGCGGUAAUACGUAGGGUGCAAGCGUUAAUCGAAUUACACUGGGCGUAAAGCGUGCGCAGGCGGUUCGGAAAGAAAGGUAGCAGAAAUCCCGAGCUUAACUUUGGAACUGCAUUUUUUAACUACCGAGCUAGAGUGUGUCAGAGGAGGAGGUGGAAUUCCGCGUGUAGCAGUGAAAUGCGUAGAUAUGCGGAGGAACACCGAUGGCGAAGGCAGCCUCACAGGAUAACACUGACGCUCAUGCACGAAAGCGUGGGAGCAAACAGGAUUAGAUACCCUGGUAGUCCACGCCCUAAACGAUGUCAACUAGCUGUUGGGGCCUUCGGGCCUUGGUAGCGCAGCUAACGCGUGAAGUUGACCGCCUGGGGAGAUACAGUCGCAAGAUUAAAACUCAAAGGAAUUGACGGGGACCGCACAAGCGGUGGAUGAUGUGGAUUAAUUCGAUGCAACGCGAAAAACCUUACCUACCCUUGAUAUGGAAUCCCGAAGAGAUUUGGGAGUGCUCGCAAGAGAACCGGAACACAGGUGCUGCAUGGCUGUCGUCAGCUCGUCGUGAGAUGUUGGGUUAAGUCCCGCAACAGGCGCAACCCUUGUCAUUAGUUGCUACGAAAGGGCACUCUAAUGAGACUGCCGGUGACAAACCGGAGGAAGGUGGGGAUGACGUCAAGUCCUCAUGGCCCUUAUGGGUAGGGCUUUACGUCAUACAAUGGUCGGGACAGAGGGUCGCCAACCCGCGAGGAGCCAAUCCCGAAACCCGAUCGUAGUCCGGAUCGCAGUCUGCAACUCGACUGCGUGAAGUCGAGAUCGCUAGUAAUCGCGGAUCAGCAUGUCGCGGUGAAUACGUUCCAGACGGAUCUUGUACACACCGCCCGUCACACCAUGCCAGGGUGGGUUUACCAGAAGUAGUUAGCCUAACCGUAAGGAGGGCGAUUACCACGGUAGGAUUCAUGACUGGGGUGAAGUCGUAACAAGAGCG
This 1477-nucleotide ribosomal RNA is filed under the name uncultured Bordetella sp. Its description in RNAcentral is "partial 16S-23S ribosomal RNA intergenic spacer". It matches the Rfam family "Bacterial small subunit ribosomal RNA". Lineage: Bacteria; Pseudomonadati; Pseudomonadota; Betaproteobacteria; Burkholderiales; Alcaligenaceae. The record is from RNAcentral.